GAUGAACGCUGGCGGCGUGCCUAAUACAUGCAAGUCGAGCGACCAGAUAGGAAGCUUGCUCCUCUACCGUUGGCGGCGGGCGGGCGAGUAACGCGUGCAUCGCCUUCCUCUAUGUCUUGGAUGACUUCGGGAAACCGCUUCUAAUACCGGCGCAUAUAUUCUACCGCAUGGUUCAAUGGUGCUACACGCCUUUGCUGUCACAUAUAGCUGAAGCCGCGCCGCAUUAGCUAGUUGGUAAGGUAACGGCCUACCAAGGCAACGAUGCGUAGCUGACCUGAGAGGGUGAUCAGCCACACUGGAACUGAGACACGGUCCAGACUCCUACGGGAGGCAGCAGUAGGGAAUCUUCCGCAAUGGGCGAAAGCCUGACGGAGCAACGCCGCGUGAGUGAUGAAGGUCUUCGGAUCGUAAAACUCUGUUAUUAGGGAAGAACAAAUGUGUAAGUAACUAUGCACGUCUUGACGGUACCUAAACAGAAAGCCCCGGCUAACUACGUG
Molecule: ribosomal RNA, 497 nt
Filed under: uncultured bacterium
Lineage: Bacteria
Description: partial 16S ribosomal RNA
Rfam family: Bacterial small subunit ribosomal RNA
Source: RNAcentral